This 493-nucleotide ribosomal RNA is filed under the name Saccharomycetes sp. 5B12. RNAcentral describes it as "eukaryotic LSU rRNA". The stretch from base 188 to 340 matches the Rfam family "5.8S ribosomal RNA". The record is from RNAcentral. Lineage: Eukaryota; Fungi; Ascomycota; Saccharomycetes.
UAGUAUUACAAUUUUAGGUGUUUGGUGCGCUCACGCAUGUGUAUAAGAUAUAAAUCACAGUAAUGAUCCUUCCGUAGGGUGAACCUGCGGAAGGAUCAUUACUGUGAUUUAUAUCUUAUACACAUGCGUGAGCGCACCAAACACCUAAAAUUGUAAUACUANNNGUCAGUAAGUUUUAACAAAACAAAACUUUCAACAACGGAUCUCUUGGUUCUCGCAUCGAUGAAGAGCGCAGCGAAAUGCGAUACCUAGUGUGAAUUGCAGCCAUCGUGAAUCAUCGAGUUCUUGAACGCACAUUGCGCCCCAUGGUAUUCCAUGGGGCAUGCCUGUCUGAGCGUCGUUUCCUUCUUGCGCAAGCAGAGUUGAGAACAGGCUAUGCCUUUUUCGAAAUGGAACGUCGUGGACGAAGUGAACUAAANUUUUAGCACGCUUUGGCCGCCGAACUUUUAACUAAGCUCGACCUCAGAUCAGGUAGGAAUACCCGCUGAACUUA